CUCUUUCGUCUUAAUUUCUCAAUUUUCAUUUAAAAAAAGUUACUUUUUCGCUUUUCCCACUGUUCUGUUUCUAUUGAUUUCAUUUUUAAUUAACAACAGCAAAAAAAAAAAAUUGAACAAUUCUGACCUUCAUCUGACCUGCCUGUCAGAUUCAAGUCUAUUCCACAAACAUUUCUGAUUUUAAUGUCUUCCGUGAAUUAUUCAUGUCGCAUUUCUAUGGUUUAUAUAUCAUCUACAUUUGCAACUCAAUUAAUAAAAUAUGAUUUACCUUAAUUCCAUCCAUUCACAUAACACAUUUGCACAUUGCUUCCAGUCAUGGAAUACUAGAGAAAUGAUAUACCCCUUCUGAUACCAAAACUUUAAAAAAAAAAUUAUUAUAAAAAAAUCUUCAUAAAAUGCAAAUUACAUGAGAAUACUCGCAAGUGUUUCUCGAGUGGUUAUGGGAUAUUCUUUUCGAUAGUACUAUGUUAAGGUUCUUGUUUCCAUAAAAUUUUAUUUUUAUUAUUUUAAUGUCUGAAAGUACUGCACGGUGUUUUGUCUCUAUAAUUGGCGAUAUUUAUUUGUUUUUAUGAAAAUUCUUUCCGUUUUUUUUUCUCUCUCCAUGCCUAAUGUGAUACAUAUAAUAUAAUUGCAUGCAUUAGUU
Bradysia coprophila is the source of this 643-nucleotide long non-coding RNA. The record is from RefSeq and is a predicted model, not a curated record. Lineage: Eukaryota; Metazoa; Arthropoda; Insecta; Diptera; Sciaridae.